This 1603-nucleotide long non-coding RNA is filed under the name Carassius auratus (goldfish). RNAcentral's name for it is "lncRNA (ENSCARG00000023684.1)". The record is from RNAcentral. Lineage: Eukaryota; Metazoa; Chordata; Actinopteri; Cypriniformes; Cyprinidae.
UGGUUGUUGGUUAAAAAAAAGCACAAGUGAGAUCAUUUUCUCUCAUUUCCCAUUUGAAGGACGACACAGUAGAAGGCAAAAGAUGUGUGGCGUAGAUGAAAAUGCAACUUCCUGUUAAGAAAGGGCCUUAACGCAAAGCUGAAGAGGAGAGUGUCUCUGACACUGCUCUGCUGUCUCUAGACCCCUAAAAACAGCUUAAGGAUUUUUUUUGAAGGUGAAAACUCUCCGGCAACUGAACCGACCGAUUAGACGCACGAGAACACGACAUAUGGUGUCUUAGAAACGGCUUUUGAACUCUUGGAUAUGGCGAGAUUUUUUACGCUAGGACCCUUGGUUUUGGUCCUAUGCUUGGUCUUAUACCCCCCAAACUCACAGACUGAAGGAGACAACAAACCAAAGACAGACCCCUCAAACUCACAGACUGAAGGAGACAACAAACCAAAGACAGGUGUCAGUGCUGACCAAUCAAAGAACACCACACCACCCACUGCUCACACCCCUACAUUACCUACCACUAAAGACCCCUCAAACUCACAGACUGAAGGAGACAACAAACCAAAGACAGGUGUCAGUGCUGACCAAUCAAAGAACGCCACACCUCCCACUGCUCACAUCCCUACAUUACCUACCACUAAAGGUAACCACGACAACACGCAUCACCACAGCACACACACACUCCAGCAUUAUACAGUAUCUCUCUCACACUCAUCACUCAUGACCUCUGACCUCCAUCCUCCCAUCAUGUACACUGUGAACUCUCCUUCAGAAUCACAUCUUCAGUGCUGCGCUCAUGAGCAGUGUUAUACUUUUAUAAUGUUGCUAAUCUUUAUUUAUAAGAAAGUGUUUCCUAUAAGAAUCCCAUAAUAACUGUUCUGCAGGUUGAUGUCUUCACAUGAUAAACAGAUAAGGGUCAAAAUAAUAUUGACCAACAGCCAAGGCAUUAUUUUUGAUGAAUGUUGCAAAUAAUACAAAUACUGAAUGGCAUUUCAUGUUGAGUUUAAAGUCUGUAAACAUAAGUUAUUUCAAAUGAAUAUGUGACCUCUAUCCUGUGACACAGUCUACAUUAGAACCAGUAAAGAAGCGCUUGGGUUACUUGUAGGUGAAUAGAUGUAGCUCGUCUUUCAAUAAUCAGUCAUAUUCAUUAGAUUCUGGAAACAUUCACAUUAUAGAAAAGUGUUUUUUAUAUAAUCUAUAACAAAGGUCAUUUUUAUUGAAUUAUAGGUAACUUCACAAAUAGAUCUAGAAAAAAAAAAAAAAAAAACAUUGAUUGUGAUGUUACUUGUGUGUAUUUACUGAAAUAGCUUUAUAAUAUAGAAAUAUUUAGCAGUAUCUAGUAGUCACACUUAGAAAGUUUGAUCCUUUAUUGUACAGACAUGUACAAUUUUUAUUGUAUUUUUUUUUUCCUCUGAGAACAGAGUUUAGAAUAACACUCACCUCUAACAGGUAAUGAAGUGCCCAGAUUACUUGUAAAUGAGUUAGUUUGAGUUAUUAUUAUUAUUAUUAUUAUUAUUAUUAUUAUUAUUAUUAUUAUUGUAAUAUUAUUAUUUAAUUUUUUUCGUAUUCUCAAAAUCCCAUUUCUAAAAAUUCGUAAACAUGGUUUCUC